This 1372-nucleotide ribosomal RNA is filed under the name uncultured bacterium. RNAcentral's name for it is "bacterial SSU rRNA". It matches the Rfam family "Bacterial small subunit ribosomal RNA", at positions 28 to 1381 of the family's 1533-position model. The record is from RNAcentral.
GAUGAACGCUGGCGGCGUGCCUAAUACAUGCAAGUCGAGCGAACGGACGAGAAGCUUGCUUCUCUGAUGUUAGCGGCGGACGGGUGAGUAACACGUGGAUAACCUACCUAUAAGACUGGGAUAACUUCGGGAAACCGGAGCUAAUACCGGAUAAUAUUUUGAACCGCAUGGUUCAAAAGUGAAAGACGGUCUUGCUGUCACUUAUAGAUGGAUCCGCGCUGCAUUAGCUAGUUGGUAAGGUAACGGCUUACCAAGGCAACGAUGCAUAGCCGACCUGAGAGGGUGAUCGGCCACACUGGAACUGAGACACGGUCCAGACUCCUACGGGAGGCAGCAGUAGGGAAUCUUCCGCAAUGGGCGAAAGCCUGACGGAGCAACGCCGCGUGAGUGAUGAAGGUCUUCGGAUCGUAAAACUCUGUUAUUAGGGAAGAACAUAUGUGUAAGUAACUGUGCACAUCUUGACGGUACCUAAUCAGAAAGCCACGGCUAACUACGUGCCAGCAGCCGCGGUAAUACGUAGGUGGCAAGCGUUAUCCGGAAUUAUUGGGCGUAAAGCGCGCGUAGGCGGUUUUUUAAGUCUGAUGUGAAAGCCCACGGCUCAACCGUGGAGGGUCAUUGGAAACUGGAAAACUUGAGUGCAGAAGAGGAAAGUGGAAUUCCAUGUGUAGCGGUGAAAUGCGCAGAGAUAUGGAGGAACACCAGUGGCGAAGGCGACUUUCUGGUCUGUAACUGACGCUGAUGUGCGAAAGCGUGGGGAUCAAACAGGAUUAGAUACCCUGGUAGUCCACGCCGUAAACGAUGAGUGCUAAGUGUUAGGGGGUUUCCGCCCCUUAGUGCUGCAGCUAACGCAUUAAGCACUCCGCCUGGGGAGUACGACCGCAAGGUCGAAACUCAAAGGAAUUGACGGGGACCCGCACAAGCGGUGGAGCAUGUGGUUUAAUUCGAAGCAACGCGAAGAACCUUACCAAAUCUUGACAUCCUUUGACAACUCUAGAGAUAGAGCCUUCCCCUUCGGGGGACAAAGUGACAGGUGGCGCAUGGUUGUCGUCAGCUCGUGUCGUGAGAUGUUGGGUUAAGUCCCGCAACGAGCGCAACCCUUAAGCUUAGUUGCCAUCAUUAAGUUGGGCACUCUAAGUUGACUGCCGGUGACAAACCGGAGGAAGGUGGGGAUGACGUCAAAUCAUCAUGCCCCUUAUGAUUUGGGCUACACACGUGCUACAAUGGACAAUACAAAGGGCAGCGAAACCGCGAGGUCAAGCAAAUCCCAUAAAGUUGUUCUCAGUUCGGAUUGUAGUCUGCAACUCGACUACAUGAAGCUGGAAUCGCUAGUAAUCGUAGAUCAGCAUGCUACGGUGAAUACGUUCCCGGGUCU